Molecule: long non-coding RNA, 895 nt
Filed under: Anas platyrhynchos platyrhynchos (common mallard)
Lineage: Eukaryota; Metazoa; Chordata; Aves; Anseriformes; Anatidae
Description: lncRNA (ENSAPLG00000027804.1)
Source: RNAcentral
GCAAAAUUAGCAUAGGAAGGGUGAUCUUUUCUUCAAAUUAAUUACAUUAUUAUCAGUUAAAUGCAGAUGAUUGAAUGUAGACACUACCAUUUAGCUUUUGCUGUGAACUUUUCCUUGCUCUCCCAAGUACUGAGGGAGUCAAUUUCCACAUUGCAGUUAAACCAAAUCUUGCUAUAAUGAACAUGGCAUCACGUAACAACCUACUGUGGUCGGCUUGCUGUGGUUUCCCAUGUAGACAGUGGGCCAGUUUUGUGAUGAGAAAAUCAGAAUUUGCGUUGCUUUGUUGGAAGAGAUGUGGGUUUUCUUAUCUUCCUCCUGAGUGCACUUUUUUUUUUUUUUUUUUCCAUACUUGAGAUUAGAUUCGUAACAGGUUGUUGGCUGAUUUGAUGGUUACGGUAAUGAAGACAAAUUAUGUGAUCACAAAAGUUUGGGUUAAGUCUACUAGAAACUGGCAAUUGGCAAGUCCCUAAAAAAAUAGUGGAAAAUGCUGAAACCGUGAAUUUAACCUACUUUGGAGGAUGCUGGUGCCCAGACUCGUGUUGGGAGGCUGCAGGAGGAGUGCGGUGAGCGCAGUCCACGGUGCCCAUCACCAGGGAAGUACAGCGGGGCUGGGCACUGUGCCCACAGAGGGUGCACUGCUCCUAUUGCCUUGGCAUAGGAAAAACAGUCCUGCAGCAGAGGGUAGGGAUGCACCUUCUGACAAACCUCCGGUGGUGUCACUUGAUGCGACGUGAAACGCUGAUUUGAGGGACUGUAUGUCUGCAGCACUUCGAAGCGCUGGAAGGCAAAGAUUUCAGAAGCCAUAAGUUAGAUCUCCAAGGUAAGAACAGCCACUUUUGGAUGAGAGAGGAAGGAGUGUCUCCUUCAAUAAUAAAUAUAAAAUCAAAGGCUUUCA